GACGAACGCUGGCGGCGUGCUUAACACAUGCAAGUCGAACGGAAAGGCCCUGCUUUUGUGGGGUGCUCGAGUGGCGAACGGGUGAGUAACACGUGAGUAACCUGCCCUUGACUUUGGGAUAACUUCAGGAAACUGGGGCUAAUACCGGAUAGGAGCUCCUGCUGCAUGGUGGGGGGUGGAAAGUUUCGGCGGUUGGGGAUGGACUCGCGGCUUAUCAGCUUGUUGGUGGGGUAGUGGCUUACCAAGGCUUUGACGGGUAGCCGGCCUGAGAGGGUGACCGGCCACAUUGGGACUGAGAUACGGCCCAGACUCCUACGGGAGGCAGCAGUGGGGAAUAUUGCACAAUGGGCGGAAGCCUGAUGCAGAAACGCCGCGUGCGGGAUGACGGCCUGCGGGUUGUAAACCGCUUUCGCCUGUGACGAAGCGUGAGUGACGGUAAUGGGUAAAGAAGCACCGGCUAACUACGUG
Molecule: ribosomal RNA, 468 nt
Filed under: uncultured bacterium
Lineage: Bacteria
Description: partial 16S ribosomal RNA
Rfam family: Bacterial small subunit ribosomal RNA
Source: RNAcentral